CAUGGCUCAGAUUGAACGCUGGCGGCAGNCUAACACAUGCAAGUCGAGCGGUAGAGAGAAGCUUGCUUCUCUUGAGAGCGGCGGACGGGUGAGUAAUGCCUAGGAAUCUGCCUGGUAGUGGGGGGAUAACGUUCGGAAACGGACGCUAAUNCCGCAUACGUCCUACGGGAGAAAGCAGGGGACCUUCGGGCCUUGCGCUAUCAGAUGAGCCUAGGUCGGAUUAGCUAGUUGGUGAGGUAAUGGCUCACCAAGGCGACGAUCCGUAACUGGUCUGAGAGGAUGAUCAGUCACACUGGAACUGAGACACGGUCCAGACUCCUACGGGAGGCAGCAGUGGGGAAUAUUGGACAAUGGGCGAAAGCCUGAUCCAGCCAUGCCGCGUGUGUGAAGAAGGUCUUCGGAUUGUAAAGCACUUUAAGUUGGGAGGAAGGGCAUUAACCUAAUACGUUAGUGUUUUGACGUUACCGACAGAAUAAGCACCGGCUAACUCUGUGCCAGCAGCCGCGGUAAUACAGAGGGUGCAAGCGUUAAUCGGAAUUACUGGGCGUAAAGCGCGCGUAGGUGGUUUGUUAAGUUGGAUGUGAAAUCCCCGGGCUCAACCUGGGAACUGCAUUCAAAACUGACUGACUAGAGUAUGGUAGAGGGUGGUGGAAUUUCCUGUGUAGCGGUGAAAUGCGUAGAUAUAGGAAGGAACACCAGUGGCGAAGGCGACCACCUGGACUAAUACUGACACUGAGGUGCGAAAGCGUGGGGAGCAAACAGGAUUAGAUACCCUGGUAGUCCACGCCGUAAACGAUGUCAACUAGCCGUUGGAAGCCUUGAGCUUUUAGUGGCGCAGCUAACGCAUUAAGUGACCGCC
RNAcentral lists this ribosomal RNA (859 nucleotides) under gamma proteobacterium 6.1.20_I. RNAcentral describes it as "bacterial SSU rRNA". It matches the Rfam family "Bacterial small subunit ribosomal RNA", at positions 18 to 873 of the family's 1533-position model. The record is from RNAcentral. Lineage: Bacteria; Pseudomonadati; Pseudomonadota; Gammaproteobacteria.